This 13287-nucleotide long non-coding RNA is filed under the name Solanum tuberosum (potato). Its description in RNAcentral is "long non-coding RNA (STUB_LNC007720)". The record is from RNAcentral. Lineage: Eukaryota; Viridiplantae; Streptophyta; Magnoliopsida; Solanales; Solanaceae.
AUGAAGUGAAAUUUUAGAUGAAAUCAAAAUUAAAAUAAGUCACAAGUAAGAGAGAGAGAGAGAAAAGGUAAAGAAAAAACUUAAAAUGAAUUUUUAAAAAAAAUUAAAUUAACACGUGUCAUGUAAUGAUUGGUGUGUGAACACACUUGCUUUUUAAAAUCUGAGAUUGAUCGAAAAAUGAUAUAAUAAUAUAUGUUCAAAAUUGUUUAAUAGGGUAAUAAGACGGUUGCAAAAUUAAGAUAUCUUUUUGAAAAUUCGGAACAACUUCAAUAGUGAAUUUAUGUCUUUUUUUCUUUUUAAAAAUUGCAUAAAUACAAUAUAACAAUGCUUUUGACUUAACUAGAUACUUCAUUUGUCUCACAUAAAAGAAACAAGGAACUUUUGUGACACCUUGGAUAUCCACACAUAAUGGAUCCAAGAAUGUACAUUGCUGCAAUGGAAGGGAGUAUGGAAGAUGGUGAUUUUUCACUUGUUGAUCAUCUGAAAAGGGAGGAAGAAAAUGGAUACCAAGUCACUCCAAAGGGAAAUACAAUCCUCCAUGUGGCAGUUCACUUUGGCCAACGAGGUUUCGUGGGAGAAGUCCUUAAGAUUACCCCGGCUUUAUUAUGCUAUAAGAAUAAGAAAAAUGAAACUGCGCUUCACAUUGCAGCUAAUUUAGGACAAAGUGAAGUGGUGAGUGAACUACUUAGCAUAGAAGGAAAGGAGACACUUGUGAGGAUGACGGAUGACAUUGGAGAUACGGCCUUGCACAAGGCCAUUAGAAGUGGACACAUUGACAUUGUCAGGAUGUUGGUGAAAGUAUUACUAGAUCCUGAACACGACUUUCCAGCCAAUAAGGCUGGGGAGACACCACUUUAUUUGGCUGCAGAGUCUGGUUUUCAUGAUGCUUUGAUUGAAAUCUUGAACGUUUGCAAGGAACCAACUUAUGUUGCAGGUCCAUCCAAUCGAACACCUCUACAUGCAGCCGUAAUUCAAGAACACACGGGUGAGUACCUCCUGGAUGAUUUCAUCAUAUAUAAUAUGGAAAAUGAUUAAAUUUGUCCCUCUACUAAUAAAAAGAAGCUAUAUUUACCUUUGGUUAAAUUUAUUUCAAUAAAUAUACUGCUACAGUCAUACUUUAUGAUCUUGUUGAACGGAAAAAUCAUCCAUUUAUCAUCAUCAUAUAUAAUAUUUGACAUAUAUAUCCAGAAUGCGUGAGAUCACUAUGGCAAUGGAAUAAACCUUUAUGCGAAGAACUUGAUAGAUGGGGUUGGAAUUCACUACACUAUGCUGUUAAACAAGGAUUGAAAGAAAUAGUUUCCGAUAUGUUAGGAUGGAAGAAAUCUUUAGCCUACCUUCCGGCUGGCAGUGAAAAUAACUGGACGACAACGUUUCACAUUGCAGCUAGUGAAGGUGAUGUGUUGAUGAUAGGUGAGUUAUUAAACCACUGCCCAGAUUGUUGGGACAUGCUUAAUAGCAAUAGUCAAAAUGCACUUCAUGUUGCCUUAUUGAACGGUCACCAAAUGUUCGUCAUUGUCUUCUAUAUGAUUGGAUUUUGGAAUAGCCUUGUUGAUGAGGAAGAUAAUGAAGGCAAUACUCCACUCCAUUUGCUUGCUGCCUCUGGGGACAAUGUGCCGCAAAUGAUAUUAGACCAUCCUAGAGCAAAGAAGAUGGCAUUUAACAAACAAAAUCAGACUCCACUUGACAUAGCAUUGUCUCGCACAUGGACAACAAAGAAGGUACUCCCUCUUGUCCGUGACGGUUUUCCCUCACUUCUUUGGACUGACUCAGUCCGUCGGUUUUUUUAAAAUUAACCAUGUAAAUAAGAUUAGCAAAAUUUACAGAAUCAAAGGUAACCAUAGCCUGAUAAAGGGUUCGAUCCAAUUUGGACACCCAUUUAGGAGGUGCCAAACAGACCCAUCAUUGAUUUGAGAUCUUGAUUAAGUGAAUACCUAGUCUUUGCAAUUAAUGCUAGGCAUAAUGAGUAUAAGCACCUCAAAAAAAUCUCUUUUCGUCAUAUGAACUUUAAGGUGUAUGAAGUUUCAUAUUUGAUUUUUUAAGCAGAACAAUAGGACAUAUGGCAACCUAAGUGGAAUUAAUGCUCCUAAGAGAGAGUUUUGGCACAUUGAAGUGCUAUAAACCUAGAAGUCACCAGUAUCUUUAGCCUAAACAUACUGGCAUCUACAAAAGUAGGAGAAUCACGGGGGCUCGUAGUGACAAGAAGAGUGUUUUUUGGCUGGUCUUUGAGAGACGGGAGCUGCAUCUUAUCCAUUCAAAGGGGGCCAAUAGCCUCCUUAGGAAGGUAGGAAAGUUUUAUCUUCUUGAAGGGUGGUGGCAUGCUUCGCAAGAGCAUCCUCAAUUCCAUUGCUUUUUCUAUAAUAAUGACUAAUGCUGACAUCUUCUGUUGAAUUUUGUGUCGAAUAUCAUGCAAUCUUGAUGGGUGGUUUCAAUUUGGUUGGUUUUUGCACUGCUUUAGUAGUGAUCUUUAUUGAGUAAGGGUGUUUUGUCAUGAUUCCUUCAUUUCUGUUAUUAAACUGCUUUGAUCCGUUUUUCAUUGAGUCGGGGGUCUAUCGGAAACAACAUUUCUACCUCCAUGGUAGGGAUAAGGUCUGAAUACACCUACCUCCGGAGUAGGGAUUACAUUGAGUAUAUUCUUCUUGUUGUUGUUGGUAAAGAUAAAAACUAGAGUAACAAUGAAUCAUAUCUUGUGUUUUCUAAAAUGACAGUCUAUCUAUUUUUAGUAAGAACGAAAAUAAAAUGAACCGAAGGAUGCAGUUAUUAAUUCCACUUUUUCUCAAGGACUAUUAUAUUAUACACUAUAUCUUUCACCAGUUAGCUUAUCAAUUUUAUUACUACAUGUCACAUAUAUUAGGAGAAAUUGGUAGCCGAUAUGUGCAGCAUUAGCGGAGGAUUGGGACAACGUGACUUCAAGGUAAAACGGAAAAUAGAAACAAUCGGGAACAUACAACAGAUGAGGAAAAAGGAGGAUGAUGAAGCCAAAGCUAAGAAAGAAAAAUUAGAAAUCGAAAAAAUUAUGAAGUCAACUCAAAUACAAGUAGUUGUAGCUACUCUAAUAAUGACAGUCACGUUCGCAGCUGGUUUCACAUUACCAGGAGGUUUAUACAGCGAUGACAGUCCUAAUAAAGGGAUGGUGAUUCUAUUAAAGAGAGCAACGUUCCGUGCAUUUGUUAUUUCCGAUGUCCUGGCAUUUUCAUGUUCAGCUGGUGCUAUAUUCAUCUAUUUCUUCCUGGCAGAUAUGGAGGUAGACAACGAUGAACCUAAACGGGACUGGUUCAGAAUGUUUAAGAGGAGCUAUAAUAUAGCAUGGACUUCGCAACUUUUGGCAAUGGGUACAGUUGUAGUUGCAUUUGUAACUGGUAUGUAUGCUACUUUAGAAAAUUCACUUGCUCUUGCUGUUAGUGUUUGUGUCAUUGGUUGUGUCUCUUUGCUUAUGUACUUUUCGUAUAUCAUUUGGGUAUAAUCAGGAGAGAUGUGCUUACUAGUAGUAUUCGAACAACGUACAUAACCUUAAUUUGAGGUGAUCAGGUGUGCUUAUUAUUCGAGCAACUCUCUGUUGUCUAAUAUAGCUAGGAGAUCAAACUUAAUACUAUUUUUUUCUUCAUGUAUAGAGACAUGUGAUUGUGAAUGAUACUAUUUGUUCUAGCAUGAUUUUCUUGAAUUAUUUUUCCCAUUCCUCUUGUUUUUGUUUCGAAAUAAAGUAAAUUGAUUUGUGAUUUAUCAACACGUCUAUAUUUAUUCAACAAGAUCCAAUAAUUAGCUUAAUAUGUAGCCAUGUGUUUGUCUAAAAAAGUGUACCAUGAGUCUAUUUACUUUAGUGUAUAUAUUGUACUAUUGUAGGUAGAACUUUAAGAUUCUUGCGUGAAUAAGUAAAGCAUGAUGAAAUCUUCAAGUAAUAUAGAUCUAUCCCCUUCUCGGGCCGUGUAAUUUUACAUGAUAUCAGAGCUCUAAACAUAGAAGCUACGUUGUACAAAUUUCUAUCCAAAAACAAUGGCCUCUAGUUCCCUUUAACCCUCCUUGUCUCUUUUAGCCUCUGCCCUGCCUCAUCUCAUGGUUGUUUGUCCUGUCAUCUCUAGGGCCCUAUUGUCACAAAUUAUGACGUAAGUUUAAUGACUUGGGUCGAUCUUAAGCAAACCACACUCCAAAGUGAAAUGGAAGUCAUCAACCUAGGCCAUGGCCUUACUGAUCACUCACCAACCUAAAUUAUUUAUGUAAUGUGAUAAAUCAUUUAUCUUUUGUUAUUUUUUAAAAAGGCCAGUCAAGGUGGAAAUUAAUACAUUCAGCCACUUUACCUUAGGUUUUAAGCCAAAAAAAAAAUAUAAAAAAUUAAAACCCAAUUGAUCAUUUUAACCAAAAAUCACCUGUAUAUAUAAGAUAAAUUUUCUGUAUUUAAUUUUGAACCCCUCACAAACAAGAAGUAAAGAGUGGGUGGUAGAUCUCUUUAAUAAUUGACUCUCACAUUUUGUGGCUCAAAUCCCAUUGUGAACACUGAACAUUAUAUUUUUAGUUUCUCUUCAUUUAAUUUUGGGAACAAUCUUUCACGUAUUUUUUAUUAUUAUAAAAAAAAGUGCUAAAAUAAUAUAUUUAAACCCAAAAAAAUCGAAGGAUCCAUUCCCAAAGGCUAAAAAUCACUUUUCAUCUUUCCAAAUCCCUAAAUCACGUCAUUAGUUCUUCCCCCAAGACUCAAAAGCCAAAUAUAAAAUCACUUUUCAAGUCUCUUGUAACAGAACUAUUUUUUUUAUAAACUACUCUCUCUGUCCAACAAUAGUUGUCCACUAUUGAUUUGACACACCUCUUAAAAAACUAUAAAUGGAAGAAUAAUUUUAUUAUAUCACCAUUUUGAAAAAUGUAAUAUCAAAUGACUAUAAUUAAUGAUAAGGAUAAAUUAGGAACUAUAAGUGUAAAAUUGUCCAUUGAUUUAAUAAAGUGGACAAGUAUUGUUGGACAUCCCAAAAUAGUAUAGUGGACAACUAUUGUUGGACGGAGUACUACUUUCUUGGAUUUGUCUUUUGUUGGCUUAUCCGCACAUUUAUAUUUUUAUUAUUUUUCAAACCCCUUGAAUGAAAAUCUUGGAUCCGUCACUAGCCCACCCAAUAUUUGCCUGGUAAGCUCCUUUAUACAUUGAUAAACACAAGGGCUAAAAAGGUCCAAAUUGACAAGUUAAAAUCAAUUAAAUUCAUAUAACUACAAGGUUCGAAUUCGAAUUUUGCUGGUAGCAUCUAAUUAAUUAUAUUACAUAUGUUCAUUAUCAACUCGUCCCAUAUUAACAAGUCCUCUUCAUUUGUCAAGAAAAUCUACGUAGUUGUUUGUUUUUAUUCAGACAUGAAUAAAAUUCAUCUUGGUGACUUCAAGCAAAUACUUAUAAUCUCUUAUAACGAUUCAUUCUUUUACGUGAAAAUGAUCUUUUAUGAUCAAAUACAAAUUGAAUAGAAAAAAAACAAUCUUUUUAAGAUUUUUUAUGUAUAAAAAAAAUAUAUCGUAAAAAAAGACUUUGAAACUAAAAAUAAAUUUGCACGAUUAUCCUUGUCCUCUUGAUUACUUUGAUGUUUUUACUUCUCUAGUUCACUCCCUUUCUCUAUCAUCAUACUCCGACGGCUGUUAACUUCGAGACUUGAAGUGGGUCCACCACAAAAAUAAAUAUCUUUUGCUUACAUAACUGAACACACGCACACAAAAAACAUUUUUCAUCAUAACGAAUACAUACUUUAUGCUACUAGGUUAAAGAUUCGAUUUUUUUCAUUUAGGUUUUACUUUUUUUUUUUUUGUAUUAAUAUGGGUUAGGGAUUCGAUUUUGAGUAUAUGGUGUCGAUAAAUAUUGUGUUUUUUUUGUUGGGAGUAAGAAAAUGUUUAUAUUUAUUUGUGUUGUGUUGGGUUAGGCAUUUGACCGUGAAAAUAAAAAUUUAAUUUAUUUUACUUAGAAUUUUUAAAGUUAGAAUUGGAAUAGUGUUUGCCAUAAUAUUUGAAUUUUUUUUUGAAUUUGAAUGUGUUUUUCUAUAAGGAAAAAUUCUUUUGGUCAGAAAAUUUGGUCAGAAUGGUAAAAUAACAUAUUUCACACUAUGUUUGUGGAAAAACUUUUUGGCCAGAAUAUUUGGCUAGAAUUUGGCCAGAAUGAUAUUUUAUAUAUGUUAUUUUAUCUUUUAAAAUAUUUUUAUCAUUUUAAAUUUAAUACCUUUUAACUAAAAAAUGGAAAAAAGAUCAGUUUAUUUUAAAAUAAAAAAAAUAUUAUAGAUUUUUUAAUUUUUUGGCCAAAUUUUUUGGCUAUUUAGCAUUUCCCUGUGUUUUUUUUACCUUUUAAAACAUUUUUAUGAUUUCUUUUCACAGUUUUCUAUGGUGGGAUUAUGCAUAUACAAAGAAUUCAGGAAUUUAAUGGGGGGACAUUUGCAAUAUUGACGACACACAUUUAUUUGAUUGGUGGUUGUAGUUGAUAUUCUUUAAUUUGGUUGGUAGAAAAAAUAAAUGAGAUGCUUUUGGUAAAAAAUAAGAAGUUGAGGUAAUAUUAAUGACACGUUUUUUUCGUUGAUAAAAGUGUCGAGAAAAAAUUAUUGUGUUUUGUUAAGCGUUUGAAUAUGAAAAUAAAAAAUAUUUUACUUUAUUUAGAAUUUUUAAAGUUAGAGUUGAAAUUAUGUUUGGCUAUAAUAUUUGAAUGUGCGUUACUAUAAAUAAAUAUUUUUUUCACAGUUUUCUAUUGUGGGAUUAUGCAUAUACAAAGAAUUCAAGAAUUUGAUGGAGGGACAUUUGCAAUAUUAAUGACACACAUUUAUUUGGUCGGUGGUUGUAGUUGAUAUUCUUUAAUUAGGUUGGUGGAAAAAAUAAAUGAGAUGCUUUUGGUAAAAAGGUAAAAAGUUGAGGUAAUAUUAAUGACACAUUUUUUUUUGGUGGUUGUAGUUGAUAAAAUUGUUGAGAAAAAAUUAUUGAGUUUUAAACUUUUAGAGAAACAAGAAGUAAAAAAUAACCUACAAGGGUCAAAUUGCUCUUUUAGAUAUUAUUAAUCAAAGAGAAAAGGUUAUUUUGAAAACGAAUUUCACGAUUGAUAUUUUAUAUUAAUUUCGUCCUCACACUCAUUCUAAUACAUCUCUCUUUCACUCUUACUCUAGUAGCCCAGAUCGUCACAGCACCCCCCCCCCCCCCCCCCCCCCCCCCCCCGCCCAACACACACACACACACAUUCAUCUGUCAUAGUAUUUAAUUAAUUUAUAUUCAAAUAUAAUUUUGCUUACGUGACUGAACACACAAAAAAAAACAUUUUUCAUCAUAGUGAAUACAUCCUAAAUGCUACUUUCUUUGUUCCUAUUUACUUGUCUAUUUUUGAUUUUACACAUCUAUUAAGAAAAAUAAUAAUUGACAUGAUAAAUUUAUCAUUUUACUCUUAUUAGUUGACAGACCAAAAUUAAUUUAUUCAUUACUGAGGUCUUACCUUUUUCAAAAAUAUCAAUUUUCUAAAUAAAUUGAGGAUAUAAUAGAUAAUUUUUUUUUUUUCUUGAUUUGUUAAAAAUAACAAGUCAAAAAGGAUAAAUAAAAAAUUAUAAUUAGACAAAUAAAAAGCAACAGAGAAAGUACUAGGCUAAAGAUUCGAUGUUUUCCAUCUAAAUUUUACUUUUUGUGUAUGAAUAUGGGCUAAAGAUUCAUGAUGGAAAUUAAUGUAUUCAGUCACUUUACCUUAUUUUUUAAGCUAAAAAUAAAAAAAAUAUUUUUUAAGCAAAAAAUAAAAAAUAUUUUUUAAAUCAAAAGUAAAAAAAAUAUUAAACCCAAUUCAUUUUCACCAAAAAUCACUUGCCCACCCAAUAUUACCAAAAAUCACUUGCCCACCCAAUAUUUGACUGUAAGCUCCUUUGUACAUUGAUAAACACAAGGGCUAAAGAGGUCCAAAAUGACAAGUUAAAUUCAUUUAACUACGAGGUUCGAAUUCGAAUUUUGUUGGUAACAUGUAAUCAAUUAUAUUACAUGCUCAUUAUCACCUCGUUUCAUAUCAACAAGUCCUCUUUAUUUGUCAGAAAAUCUACAUAUUUAUUUGUUUUUCUUCAGAUAUAAACGAAAUUCAUUUUGGUGGCUUCAAGCAAAUACUUACAUCUCUUAUAGUGUGUGUUUGGUAUGAAGGAAAAUGUUUUCCAUGUAAAAUGUUUUCUUGGAAAACAAGUUAAUUUUUGACUUAUUUUUUCAUGUUUGGUUGGUGAGUAAAAAAUAUUUUUCGGAAAUUUUUUUUAGUAUUUGAUUUAUGAAUGAAAAAUAUUUUUGAGAAAUAUCUUUUAUUAUUUUUAAUAGAGUAGAAAAUAAUUUUUGAAAUUGAAAAUAUUUUUUAAAAACAAACUUAAAUUUUUUUUGGGGAUGGGGGUGGAGGUGGGGGAGUUGAGGGUAGGGAUAAAAAAUUGAAAUUUUGAAGUUGGAAAUAUUUUUUAAAAACAAACUUAAAUUAUUUUUUAUUGAGGGGGCGGGGCUGUUAAUAUUCAUUUUGAUAUUUUGCACAGUUUAGAAAUUCAUUCAAAUAUAGAUAAGUUUUCUUACACGAUUAUUUUAUUAACUAGUGAUUUCGAUCCAUAAUUUUUAGAUAAUGAUAUUGUACAAUAAAUGAUUUUUAAUUUUCUAUUUAAUCUAUUUCUUAGUUUUUAAGUGGGGUGGAUAAUAUUUUUGGCAUUGAGGAAAAAUAUUUUAAAAAUAGAUAGAAACCCUAAUCUUUGGCUUCUCUCAAACAACUUUCCAGCCGCCACCCUCAAAAAACCCCCAAACCACCAGAUCUAACAAACAACAAUCCAAAUUCCACCCGAUUCUCUGAUCUCCGGCAAGCUUGAACACCGACCCAGAAAACCCAACCAAAAGCCACCACAAACCACCAAAGAUCAGCCAACCGAAACCCCAUCCCAUUACUCCAUUUUCUCAGACCCCUCACCCUCUUGUUUUCUACCUCACGCAUAGCUACUCAACCAGCGAGCCUUCGAGUUCGAAGCUCGCAACCAGACCCCUAAACGACCCCAUCUAUUUUCCGUUUUCCGGCUGGCUCCAAGCCAAAACAACACUGCUGCGACCAGCAGCUUGUACCAGACCCCUUCCCCUUUUGAUUUUUUGUUUGUUUUGCAGUGAACCAGAAGCUCCAACAGCGGUGGACAACAACCAAGCUCCGACGACAGCGAACCCAAGCCAGACCCAGCAUCAACGGAUCUCAAAACCACAACCAGCUCUAAUCUUCGCUGCCACCUGCCAUCUCCUAUCACCCUUCUUCCCUCCGUUUUGCGGUAAACCUUAUCUUCUCUCAUCAAUGUUGAUUUUUGCACUGUAUUGUUUUGUUUUGGUUCUCGAUUCAACAAUUUUAGUAUUGUUUUGUUGAGAUUUGAACUCCAUCCUCUCUGAUAAUUGUUGUUGUUGCUUGGACAUUGAUUAUUGAAAAGUUAUUAGUGAUGUUUCUUUUGUUUGUGUGCAAAAUUAAUUUAGUCUUCUUUUAAUGUUGCUAUAAGGAAUUAUGUGAAGAGAUAAGAUAGUCUUUGAUGCCAUAUAUUUUUCACUGUUACCGUUUUAAGUAGUUUUUCAAUUAAGUAUUAUUAUUAUUAUAUAUGUUUGUUCCAAUUCUAUCAUCACUAAUUAAUGUUUGGUCACUUUUGCAUGCUUUUUUUUUAAAAGUUAAAAUAAAAUAAAAUAAAAUUAAUUAUAUAGUUUUCUAUGAAUUUCCAGCAGCCAUGAAUUUUUAACAUUCUAUUUAUUUAAUUGCAUAUAUUAUGUGUUUAAUUGUUUUAAUAUUUAGUUGACGGCUUGAUAUUGGUUGUUUAACUUGGUGCAUUUAUGAUGUCUAUUGUAGUUUAUAAUAAUUUUCAUCUCGUCCGUCACUUAAUUUUGUAUAACUCCAUCUUCGUAUUCAUGAAUUAUUUUACUUUUCAUUAUUGUUGGUGUUAAAUUGAUUCUUGUUAUUAUGUUGGCAAUUUGCUGCUGUUCAAGUUUUAGUUUGCUUAUUAUUUUAUUGUUUGUUUUUGUCUAAUUUUCAUUAUUAGUCUUAUAAAUUGUUAUCCUGUUAAAAUUGACCAAUGAGAAAAUCUCUUCGUUGAUUUUUGAGGCCUCUUCAUUUUAAAAGACGAAAAUUUAGUUAAGUUCAUAUACUUUGUUUAUUAUUGGCCGAUGAAGAAAUUUUCGUCGAUUUUCAAGGCUUUCCAUGUUAAUAAGAUAUGUUUUUAUUUUGAUUUAUUAUUCAAUUCAUUUAUUUUUUAUUUGUAUUUAUCUAUCACUAACACUUUUAUUAAGUGUCUUUACAGGUACUCGGAGUUGCUUCCCAUUGAAGCUAUUCGAACAAUAUUUUUGAUUCAUUAUUGUGUAUUAUUGACGAUAGGUAAAUUUAAGCCGUUUCUUAUAUAGUUUUAUUUUAUUACUUGUGUAUAUUGUAUGUUUGUUUUUAUCUUUUCCUCAAUUUGAAAAAAAUGAACUCAAUCGGAACCCAUAAUUGUGGAUUUCGAAGUAUGCCUAUCACCUUUUUUUCGAAAUAACUUGAACUUCUUAUCUAGAAUUUUGAUUUUGUAGAUCACUUAAUGGUUUCCUAGUUUUUUUCUAAAAUUAGGUGGCGAUUUUUUUAAAAUUCGUUUAUUUUUAAAAAAUUUUUAAAAUUGAAUCAAUUGUUUAUUUUUUGAGUCACCGCGACGUUUCGCUCUAUUUGAAUAGAGUAUGGAUGUAAAUAGAGAGUUUUGAAAAAUGCUUUUCUUAAGUUUUGAAGGGAAGUCAUUUUUCUUGAAUUUGAGGAAAAUGAGUUGAUUUCGAAUACAUUUAACCCAACCAAACAUGAGAAAAUUGAAAAAUGUUUUUCGAAAAAUAUUUUCCUUCAUACCAAACACACCCAUAAUGUCCCCUUCUUUUUACGGAAACAUAAUCUUUUAUGAUCAAUUACAAAUUGAAUAAUAAUAAUUAUAUGUUUUAAAGAUUUUUUAUGUAUAAAAAUAAAGAUAUGCCGUAAAAAAGGACAGAGAACUAAAAGUAAGUUUGAACGAUUUUCCUUGUCCUCUUGAUUACUUUGAUUUUUUUUGCUUCUUCUCUGGUUCACUCCCUUUCUCUAUCAUCAUAAUCCAAUGGUUGUUAUUCUCUUGGUUCCUAUUUAGUUGUACCAUUUUAAGUUUUGCGUCUCUUAAGAUACUAUGUAAGUUAACCAUUGUAUUCCCUUGAAAUGAAUUAAUUUAUUUUGAUUAAUUAAAUUAAUCAAUGAAUAUGAAUUAAUCAUUUUGUUUUUCUAUAUUGGUCAUAUUCAUAUUUAUAAAGCUAAUAACUUUCCAAGGUAAAAUAGAAAAAAUAAUGUCAUUUAUGUAUUAGUUUUGUGAAAUGGCAAAUACUCUCUCUGUUCACUUUUAUUUGUCACUUAUUCCUAAAAUAAAUGUUUAUUUUUACUUGUCACUUUUGACAUAUUAAGAAAAGACAAUAAUUUUUUUCAAUGUUUUAUACUCAAUGUUAAAUACUUAGUAUUUUCCAAGACAUCAUUUAAUAAGGGAUAGUUUGGUAAAAUACUUAUAUCAACAAUUUUUUUCUUAAUGUUUGUGUUAACGGAUGAAGUAUUAAAAAAUAUCUAUUUUUAAUAAAUAGGACCGAAAGGAGUAUCUUCGAGACUUUGAAGUGGGUACACCAAAUUUGCCUGGAGUUAUAAAAGUGUAGAGAAAAACUUAUUGGGUUUAUUUAAACUUGUAGAGAAACAAGGAGGAGGAAAAAAGACCUAUAAGGGUCAAACUGCUCUUUUAGAUAUUAUCGAUCAAGGAAAAAAGGUAAUGUUGAAGACCUAAUCAAAUCUUUCUUUGGUCUUACAGUUUUCCCAUGUUUUUUUUUACCCAAGUGUGUGUAAUGUAUGGAGGAAAAAUAUUUUUCAAAAAAUAUUAGCUAAUUUUCCUAUGUUUAAAUUUAUAAAAAAAGAGUUUUUUAAAAAUGAGUAAAAUAAUAUUUUUAGUGGAUUCAGGGGAAACAAGUUCCACGAUUGAUAUUUUAUAUUAAUUUUAUCAUAACACUCAUUCUAAUACAUCUAUUCUUCACUCUUACUCCCCCACACCCCUAUACACACAUUCGUCAAUCAUAGUAUUUUUUUAAUUGAUAUUUUUUAAUUUGGUUGGUGGAAAAAAUAAAUGAGAUGCUUUUGGUAAAAAAAAAAAAAAAAAAAAAGUUGAGGUAAUUUUUAAAAAUAAAAUGAUAGUAAAAAGUUAGGUGUUUGCAAAAUGGCCAAACAAGGAUUUUGGAAUAAAGUGAAUAAUAUUCAUGAUCAAAUGGGUAUUAUUUUUGAAUCUGAUUUCAAAUUAAAGAUGUGUAGAAUAAAUCUUCUUUAAUCUUAUAAUUUUAAACGUAUCUGAGUAAAAAAAAAAUUCCUUUUAAAUGUACUAAGAAAGAAUAUAAGAAAGAUUAAUUGAAACAGAGGGAGUUUUCCCCUUUGAAUUUUAAGUUUGAGUUAUUGGUUGGUAAAUACUUGACUUUACUUUUGCAAUUCCCUUUCUUGAUUCAGAUCGGAGAGAAAAAUAAACUAAAUAAAAAAAUUGAAAUCGUUCAUAGGAAAUAUCACUUGAGAGAAAAAAACUUAAGUAGUAUCUAGAUACGCGCUUUUGCACAUGUACCUAAUCGUAUUAAUUAAUGAGUACAUAUAAAUUUUUAAAAAUUACAUAAAUAUAUAUUAUAACAAUGCUUUUGACUUAAUUAGAUAUUUUCUCUAUCUCAAUUUAUGUGGUAAUGUUUGACUGAGCACAAAGUUUAAGAAAUAAGGAAAGAUUUUUGUGAUGCAGUUGGAUCACACAUUAUGGAUCCAGACAUGUACAAUGCUGCAAUGAAAGGCAAAAUGGUAUAUGGAAAAUUUUCACUUGCUGAUCUGAGAAGAGUGGAAAAUAGAUACCAAGUCACUCCAAACGGAAACACAAUCCUCCAUGUGGCAGCUCUCUUUGGCCAACAGAAUUUUGUGGGAAAAGUCCUUCAGAUUAGCACAGCAUUAUUAUGUUAUAAAAAUAUGAAAAAUGAAACUGCGCUUCACAUUGCAGCUGAUUUAGGACAAAGUGAAGUGGUGAGAAAACUACUUAGCUUUGAAGGAGUGGAGACACUUGUGAGGAUGACGGAUGACAUUGGAGAUACGGCCUUGCACAAGGCCGUGAGAAGUGGACACGUUGACAUUGUCAGGAGUUUGAUGGAUUUAUUACAAAAUCCUGCACACGACUUCCCGGCCAAUAAGGCUGGGGAGACACCACUUUAUCUGGCCGCGGAGUCUGGUUUUCAUGAUGCUUUGAUUGAAAUCUUGAACGUUUGCAAGGAACCAACUUAUGUUACAGGUCCACUCAAUCGAACACCUCUACAUGCAGCCGUAUUUCAAGAACACAC